Molecule: ribosomal RNA, 491 nt
Filed under: uncultured bacterium
Lineage: Bacteria
Description: partial 16S ribosomal RNA
Rfam family: Bacterial small subunit ribosomal RNA
Source: RNAcentral
GAUGAACGCUAGCUACAGGCUUAACACAUGCAAGUCGAGGGGAAACGACAUCGAUAGCUUGCUUUUGAUGGGCGUCGACCGGCGCACGGGUGAGUAACGCGUAUCCAACCUGCCCACCACUUGCGGAUAACCUUGCGACAGUAAGACUAAUACCCAAUGACGUCUCUAGCAGACAUCUGAAAUUGAUUAAAGUUUUAUCGGUGCUGGAUGGGGCUGCGUCUGAUUAGCUUGUUGGCGUGGUAACGGCCCACCAAGGAAACGAUCAGUAGGGGUUCGGAGAGGAAGGUCCCGCACAGUGGAACUGAGACACGGUCCAAACUCAUACGGGAGGCAGCAGUGAGGAAUAUUGGUCAAUGGACGAGAGUAUGAACCAGAGAAGUAGCGUGCAGGAAGACGGGCCUAUGGGUUGUAAACUGCUUUAUAAGGGAAUAAAGUUAGUCUCGUGAGACUUUUUGAAUGUACCUUAUGAAUAAGGACCGGCUAAUUCCGUG